GGCAGGGUUGCCAAUGGAUAAAGAACUGGACUGAGACUCGGGAUAUCUGGGUUCUAUUCCCAGCUCAGCCA
This 71-nucleotide transfer RNA is filed under the name Chelonia mydas (Green sea turtle). It matches the Rfam family "tRNA". Rfam says of the family: Transfer RNA (tRNA) molecules are approximately 80 nucleotides in length. Their secondary structure includes four short double-helical elements and three loops (D, anti-codon, and T loops). Lineage: Eukaryota; Metazoa; Chordata; Testudines; Cheloniidae. The record is from Rfam by way of RNAcentral.